UACGUAGGGGGCAAGCGUUAUCCGGAAUUACUGGGCGUAAAGGGUGCGUAGGCGGUUUAUCAAGUCAGGGGUGAAAGGCUACGGCUCAACCCUAGUGAGCCUCUGAAACUGGUGAACUUGAGUGUAGGAGAGGAAAGUGGAAUUCCCAGUGUAGCGGUGAAAUGCGUAGAUAUUGGGAGGAACACCAGUGGCGAAAGGCGACUUUCUGGACUACAACUAGACGCUGAGGCACGAAAAGACGUGGGGAGGCAAACAAGGAUUAGAUACCCCGGUACGU
Molecule: ribosomal RNA, 277 nt
Filed under: uncultured bacterium
Lineage: Bacteria
Description: partial 16S ribosomal RNA
Rfam family: Bacterial small subunit ribosomal RNA
Source: RNAcentral